CUGCCUUCAUUCAAUCAGGGGCAGAGAUGUAGGCUCGAAAAGGUAUGUUCCAUGUACACAGGAUGGGUUGCAGGUGAGAACAGUGGGAAUAGCUGAUCCAGGACCGACCAGAAGCAGACCUGAGAUGACUGGCAGAGGCCCUGGCCAUCAGAGGAAAGUCAGAGACAGAGCACGUGGCCCAAAAGAGGAAAGAGGAACAACAUGGCUUUUAGAGCAGAAGAGUAAAGUGAAUAUCAAAGGCAUCAAGGACACUCAUUCUUUCUUUCCUCUUCUCCAUUCAUAGAGGUCCGAGGAAUGAGGGGAAGGUUUAAAAUGAACCUGGGAGCAAGCAGACAUGUGUCACAGAUAUGAGAACCUCUCCGUUUGCAGUGUGAAAAACUCUGGAGGAAGGCCCGGAACUUGAGCUCUGGGAAAGAUGAUUCAGGAUUCCCCUGUCCACCGCUCAGUCACGUGGGCAGAGUGAGGAAUUCGUGUAGGUUGAAGUUUGAUGGGCACAGAAAAUGUUGACUUGCACAUGAAACUAUCAAUGAUGCUUGCUGUGUUUUCAUUUAAAUCUUAAAUUCCCUUUCAGAAAACUCUUGUUAAAGUUACUGGUGGAUAUUUCAGUACCAUUCCAGUAACACUGGGCGGGGGGGCGGGGGGGGGGAAGACAACAUUUACUUAAUUUAUGCAGCUUUUUUUCUGGUAAGAGUAUUUAAACUUGUCGACAAAGGUAUUAUGCCAGGAUUUCUUCACAGGAAUGAAAAGAAAGGAGUGAGGUGUCUUUUUAGGGCCACACCCAUGGCAUGCGGAGGUUCUCAGGCUAGGGGUCAAAUCAGAGCUGUAGCUGUCAGCCUAUGCCACAGCCACAGCAACGCCAGAUCCGAGCCAUAUCUGUGACCUAUGCCACAGCUCAUGGCAUUGCCAGAUCCUUAACUCACUGAGCGAGGACAGGGAUUGAAUUUGCACCCUCAUGGAUACCAGUCAGGUUCAUUACCACUGAGCCACAACAGAAACUCCAUGAAAAGAGUAGGAAUUAAAUAUUCAAACUAAAUCAAUUGCACACAAUUAGUCUUUGAACACCUGCCAUAUGCUAGAACUCUAUUGGGUACCCGUCAUACAACCGUACAUAAAAUGUAUCCUUACACUUUUGGCACUUGGAGUCACGGGAAAAGACAAGCUUUAUAAAAGAAAAAAACGAAAUGCUAUAUAUUGUGGCAGGUUCUCUUUAAAGUUAAGGGAAUAAGGUCGUUUAAAGGAAGAGACUCUCGAUUCUACCUGUUUGCCACACUGCUUACCAUGACUUCAAAAAAAAUUGAGUAGAAUUUCAGGAAGGAAAAUAAAUUGAGUAGCUUUGAUUGUGCUAACAUUGAGAUGCUUCUGACUUUUUACAUGAGUCUAAUGCAUAAAUUUCCCUGGACAUAAGCUAUGCAAUCUAUUUGUGGUUCCUGCGGCAUAAAGUAAACUUACAUAUUUUUUCUUUGUAACCAUAUAAAUGUUUAUCUGAUAAGUUUUCAAAUGACAUAAUGGUUUUCUAUGACUUAAAAGACAUCUCAGGAUGUAUCCUGCAACUUUACAUUUUCCUACUUGUACCCUCACCUCCAGGGAACUGAAACAGAUAGUCCAUAAAAUCUUUUAUUUUCCAUCCAAAGAACUCUCAUUGCUUAUUCAUGAUGACUUGCCCCUUGUGCAACUGAGUUGCUGGGAGCCAGAGAAGGAUGCUGUUCUACCCCAUGUUUCAGGUUGGGUUUGAACUUCAGUGCAUGCCCGCCUCUCUGUGUUUAAACAGAAUAUCUUAGUAAUUACCACCUCUUGCCAAAGCUUUUGAAUAAACGAGUGACAUGUUCUCUUGUAAUGAAGUCCCUUUGGUUGCUCUGAACAGCUCUCUCAAGCUCUCUUCUUUCUUCUGCUUUUUCCUUCAUAAACAUUUUAGAAGAAAACAUUAUGGAAACCCACCCCUCUCAUGGCAGACAGUACUCAUUAAAAACUUUAGAAAAAUAGUUGCUUCUCUCUAUAAAAUCCACAAGAUUAGUAAAGUAUUAUGAUAGCACUCUCUCUGUUAAAAAAAAAAAAGACUUAUUAGUCGAAAUAGUCCUUUAGUCUGCAGAUUAUAAGACUAUUUUAAACUAUUAUAUGCUUCAGAAUGUUAAUGGGGUUUAUAUCAUUAUUAUAUCAACCUACCCAUUAUUAUAGUAAAGUAAUAUGAAAACUAAUACAAAAUAUAAAACAAAGACCCAGGUCAGUCAAAACUACCAUGGAUUAUGAAUGGGUUGCAAAAUGCCAAGGCUGAAUGGUAUUAUUCAGGGUCUACAUACCCAACAGGAAGUAUUAUGAGCCCUUAAGACGUGACAGAGAUGGCAUUAUAUGACCAUUGAAAUGGACAUUCUCUAAUGGCACCUAGACACAUUAUCUGCAUUAAGAUAUCACACCACCACAAUGUAUUUUCUUCUACAACCAACAGUUUUCUUGUGGGUUGAACCUAAGAAUGUCUGCACAGUCACACCAAGAAAUAAAGAUAAGUAACACUAAUGAAAGAAUUGAAAAGAAAGGAAAGAUUUGCAAAAGAAGGUGAGGAAAUGAAACUUCUUAUUUAAGUAAUUUCCAAAGGUGUGCAAGAGACAAUAGGUAUCACUGCUGGUAUAAUAAGUUAUCAUACUAGAAACAUUAGGCAUAUCUCUGGUGCCAUGCCAAAUGCAGGAUAAUUUCUUUCAUCAAAGAAAGGAAGAGCCAACAUAAGUUUCAUGACUUGCUAGAAGUGUUCAGACAUUUACUAUAUUUCUAAAGAUUAAUUUUUACAAUCACUAGCUUACAGUACGAAUAAACUAGAUGUAGUGUGACUUUCAGUCUACAGCCUCAGGUGUGCAUGAAAAGUAGUAUCAUAAUUUUAUGAUGAUAAUUUAUUUUCUAGUUUGAACUACUGUUUCACUGAAUGGUAGAAAAUAAGUUUCCUGAGGUUCUACCUAAUGUUGUGUAUGCUGGUAAACGAGCUAGGUAGAAAAAAAGGGGGGCUUCUUUCUCUCUUUCUUCCUUCCUUCCUCCUCCCUCCCUCCCUCUCUUUCUCUCUCUUUCUUUCUUCGCUGAGCCUGCAGCAUGUGGAAGUUCCUGGGGGCAGGGACUGAAUCCACACCAUGGCAGCCAGCCGAGCCACAGCAGUAGCAAUGACAAGGCUAUGCCACCUGGGAACUCCCAACACAGUGUACUUUAGAUGCCAUAGCUGGGGAUGGACUUGAUGGGGGAUGGCCAUGUGUGGAGACACGAGAGAAAAUCUUCUGUUAAUGUUUUCAAAUAUUCCCCUUAUCUAUUUCUCCUUCUAUUAAGCUUGGUUCUGGGAACUGGGAAUAUAUAAUAUUAUAUACACUAAGUUAAUUUUUUCAGCAUUUUCAUCACAUAGUCACUUUUCCCUGGAGCUCAAACAUUGUAAUUCCUUCUUGAUUCAGGCUUCUCCCUUUCCAUGCACAUUCAAGAUUGUCACCCCUCCUGUAUUUAAACUAUGUUAAGAGAUAGCUGGAAAAAAGAAAUCUGAAAGAAGCAAAAGAGGUCUCAAUAUUGAGCCUCUCUUUAUUUCUUCUUUGUUCCAGUCCUGGUUUUUGCUUCCAAAGGUGAAUUGUAGCUCCUUGGUAUUCUCUUAUUCUAAUCCUCUAUGGCAUCAAACUUUUAACUGUUCCUUGUAUAUCAUCAUUUUGAGAUCCAUCCCUUUCCAGAUCCCUUCUUCAGACACAUUUCACUUGGCAAAUACUGUUAGAGGGCAGCAUGGGUACAAUGCUUGAAACAUGGUCCAACCAGCACUAAGGAGCCUGAAUGUGCAAUGGGAUUCUCUCCUCCUUUGAUUUGGAUUUUACAUUGUUAUUAAUACACCUAAAUUAACUUAUAUCAGUAAUUCCUACUCUUAAGAUUCAGUCUACUAUACCCCUAAGUUCUUUUCUAAAUGAGCUACUGUGUGGAGAGCCUAGGAUAGUGAGAGAUCAUGGGCUCUAGGGUCAGACUGGCCUGGACUCACAUCCCAGCCAUGUCACUUGCAGUCCAUUGAGUUAUCACUUAGCCUUCCCUAGAAUCUCCGAUCUAUUAAGGCAAUUCUUAUGAAACUAUGUGGCACAAGGAUGUUUUCCCCUGUUUUCUCUCUCCUGGAUUUUAUAUUGAUUCAUUUAUUCCUGUUAAAAUUACUGAAUUUCAUCUUGAGUUUCAAUUGGAUGUGCACACACUAGGAACAGUUUAGACUCUUUGUUCACUUAAGUUACUCAGAUUAAGUCAACAAUCAAUAACAAUUUUUGUACAUUCACUGUAUGCAAAGCAAUGAACCAGCUGAUAAAGGUAAUGGGAGGAGUGAAAGUUAGUGCCUGUAAAUAUUAAUAAAGCAUGGUCCCUCUCCUAAAACAGUUUAGAAGCUACCGAAGGAUAGCGCUAUGAAAAGAACACACAUGGUAUAAAGAGAACAGAGGUGUGUGCAUAGCUGUGUAGGAACACGCAGGAGGAAGUCAUUAUAUAAAUUUGAAUAGAGUGGGUAGAGUGGAGGAGGUUGUUUUCAAACUGAUCCUUUGAGUGAUGAAUAAGAAACAGGGAGAAGUUUCCAUACUGGGGGAAGCAGGAACACAGAAACAGAGGUUAAAAGAUUAAAGUCUCACCAAGGAUUGGUGAUAAAUCAGGCAUCAUUACAUCAGAGGGUGGGGUGGAGCAUCAUCUUUAAGGUGACUGACCAGGACUUGAUUAGCCUUGGUCACAUUUCAAGAGAUGAACUAAGGCUGUUUGUCUCUGGGAGUAGAGAGUGAUUUUCAAAUGACACUUAAAACGAACUUUUGGUUUCU
This 4778-nucleotide long non-coding RNA is filed under the name Sus scrofa (pig). RNAcentral's name for it is "lncRNA (ENSSSCG00000055277.1)". Lineage: Eukaryota; Metazoa; Chordata; Mammalia; Artiodactyla; Suidae. The record is from RNAcentral.